Molecule: ribosomal RNA, 1343 nt
Filed under: uncultured bacterium
Lineage: Bacteria
Description: 16S ribosomal RNA
Rfam family: Bacterial small subunit ribosomal RNA
Source: RNAcentral
GACGAACGUUGGCGGCGUGCUUAACACAUGCAAGUCGAACGGAAAGGCCCUGCUUUUGUGGGGUGCUCGAGUGGCGAACGGGUGAGUAACACGUGAGUAACCUGCCCUUGACUUUGGGAUAACUUCAGGAAACUGGGGCUAAUACCGGAUAGGAGCUCCUGCUGCAUGGUGGGGGUUGGAAAGUUUCGGCGGUUGGGGAUGGACUCGCGGCUUAUCAGCUUGUUGGUGGGGUAGUGGCUUACCAAGGCUUUGACGGGUAGCCGGCCUGAGAGGGUGACCGGCCACAUUGGGACUGAGAUACGGCCCAGACUCCUACGGGAGGCAGCAGUGGGGAAUAUUGCACAAUGGGCGGAAGCCUGAUGCAGCAACGCCGCGUGCGGGAUGACGGCCUUCGGGUUGUAAACCGCUUUCGCCUGUGACGAAGCGUGAGUGACGGUAAUGGGUAAAGAAGCACCGGCUAACUACGUGCCAGCAGCCGCGGUGAUACGUAGGGUGCGAGCGUUGUCCGGAUUUAUUGGGCGUAAAGGGCUCGUAGGUGGUUGAUCGCGUCGGAAGUGUAAUCUUGGGGCUUAACCCUGAGCGUGCUUUCGAUACGGGUUGACUUGAGGAAGGUAGGGGAGAAUGGAAUUCCUGGUGGAGCGGUGGAAUGCGCAGAUAUCAGGAGGAACACCAGUGGCGAAGGCGGUUCUCUGGGCCUUUCCUGACGCUGAGGAGCGAAAGCGUGGGGAGCGAACAGGCUUAGAUACCCUGGUAGUCCACGCUGUAAACGGUGGGUACUAGGUGUGGGGUCCAUUCCACGGGUUCCGUGCCGUAGCUAACGCUUUAAGUACCCCGCCUGGGGAGUACGGCCGCAAGGCUAAAACUCAAAGGAAUUGACGGGGCCCCGCACAAGCGGCGGAGCAUGCGGAUUAAUUCGAUGCAACGCGUAGAACCUUACCUGGGUUUGACAUGGAUCGGGAGUGCUCAGAGAUGGGUGUGCCUCUUUUGGGGUCGGUUCACAGGUGGUGCAUGCCUGUCGUCAGCUCGUGUCGUGAGAUGUUGGGUUAAGUCCCGCAACGAGCGCAACCCUUGUUCACUGUUGCCAGCACGUUAUGGUGGGGACUCAGUGGAGACCGCCGGGGUCAACUCGGAGGAAGGUGGGGAUGACGUCAAGUCCUCAUGCCCCUUAUGUCCAGGGCUUCACGCAUGCUACAAUGGCUGGUACAGAGAGUGGCGAGCCUGUGAGGGUGAGCGAAUCUCGGAAAGCCGGUCUCAGUUCGGAUUGGGGUCUGCAACUCGACCUCAUGAAGUCGGAGUCGCUAGUAAUCGCAGAUCAGCAACGCUGCGGUGAAUACGUUCCCGGG